UGCGGCACAGGGACACAGUGGGCUCGACUCCCUCUGGGCUGACAGGCAAUAAAUGGCUGAGGAGCAGUCGCUCCUCCAGCUGAAUGCAGAUGACAAGGCUGAGGACAGCAAAGACUGCAAGGCCAGUCAACAGAUUGAUUUCUUUGUGGUUGCCUUUGUUAUUUUAAAAGUUAGUAUGUUAUGUGAGCACCAAGAAGCUCCUGCAGAGAUGGUGCUCAGCACUGGACAUGGACAUGUGGAGAGGAAACUGCAAAUGUCAUGAGGAAGACUGAGCUGCUCUGUGAUCCUGUCACCUGGAGAUCCAUGUGGCCAGAACCAGUGCUCCAAGAACCCACUGCUGAGCCUGUGCCCAUCCAGCAAAGUGGCUGCUGCUCCUUUCACAGAGAUCUGUAUGUGGGGAUCUGCAGGGGUAAUCAACCACUGAAAUAGCCCCCAGGUUAAUAUGCCCACAUUGUGCUUGGCUCUGUAUUUUUGGUGAAGAACAUAAUCAGCACUGGGUGUGUGAGUGUUGGGAAUGCAACAGGAACCUGAAAGUUUUUUGCUUUUAUUUUAGUAUGUGUCUAUAAUGUCAGUAUUUCAGUCUCAGAGGAUUUGCCUACCUGACUAUAGUUAAGAUCAUUAUGUUCUCUCACACAGAUCAUUGGAGUUUAGCUUUUUUGGGUAUCUUUCCUGAUCUAAGAAUUCAUUACAAGUCACUUUACACGGAAGGGAGAAAAGCAGCAGUUUGAAGCAGACUUCAGUCCCUUCAGAUCAAAGCCCAUGUCUUCUGAUGUGCCCACAGCACCUAACGGUGCCUAGUCCAGACUGAGAGUCGUGGUUAUUGCAGUGGGGUAUGGCACAGAACUGAAUAUCUGCUAUUUUUGCAUGCUUUAUUUAGUGCAUUUUCUAUGCAAACCACUUGGGUUCCUGUUUAUGUAUCAAACUCCCCACAGCAUGUUUGCCCCUUGUCAUGGCUAUCAUUAUUCCUGGUGAAGAGGAGUGUACUGCUCUCACUUUGUAGUUAACAGCAGGGACACCCCGCCAUCCUAGGGCUGUCUGG
Molecule: long non-coding RNA, 1039 nt
Filed under: Taeniopygia guttata (zebra finch)
Lineage: Eukaryota; Metazoa; Chordata; Aves; Passeriformes; Estrildidae
Description: lncRNA (ENSTGUG00000027491.1)
Source: RNAcentral